Long non-coding RNA from Chanos chanos (milkfish), 197 nucleotides. RefSeq lists it as uncharacterized. The record is from RefSeq and is a predicted model, not a curated record. Lineage: Eukaryota; Metazoa; Chordata; Actinopteri; Gonorynchiformes; Chanidae. The transcript has 2 exons.
AUCACCCGCCAAGAGCUGCUUGCCGUCAUCCUGGGGCUCCGCCACUUCCAGCCCUACGGGGCUCCACAGCACCAGCCAAGGAAACAAAGUCGACUGUUUCACAGAUGUCUAUACUGAGAUCAUCAAGGCAGCUGCAAAUGGGACCGGAGAGGAACUACUGCAUCACCUGUCAAGAGCAAUGGAAACUUUGACUCUAU